RNAcentral lists this ribosomal RNA (252 nucleotides) under Salmonella enterica. RNAcentral's name for it is "partial 16S ribosomal RNA". It matches the Rfam family "Bacterial small subunit ribosomal RNA", at positions 100 to 356 of the family's 1533-position model. Lineage: Bacteria; Pseudomonadati; Pseudomonadota; Gammaproteobacteria; Enterobacterales; Enterobacteriaceae. The record is from RNAcentral.
GACGGGUGAGUAAUGUCUGGGAAACUGCCUGAUGGAGGGGGAUAACUACUGGAAACGGUAGCUAAUACCGCAUAAUGUCGCAGGACCAAAGAGGGGGACCUUCGGGCCUCUUGCCAUCAGAUGUGCCCAGAUGGGAUUAGCUUGUUGGUGAGGUAACGGCUCACCAAGGCGACGAUCCCUAGCUGGUCUGAGAGGAUGACCAGCCACACUGGAACUGAGACACGGUCCAGACUCCUACGGGAGGCAGCAGUG